RNAcentral lists this long non-coding RNA (697 nucleotides) under Equus caballus (horse). RNAcentral's name for it is "lncRNA (ENSECAG00000047563.1)". The record is from RNAcentral. Lineage: Eukaryota; Metazoa; Chordata; Mammalia; Perissodactyla; Equidae.
GUCCAGGAGCACGGCGGCCCGCCCGGCUCCGCUCGCGUGGGAGAGGAUGCGCCCCGGGCCGAGGCCCCUCCCCGCGGGGCUGCGGGUUGGAGAAGGCGCUUCCUUAGAGGGGUGUGUUGCGGGAUGGGGGUGUCCUGGCACCGGGCGCCCUUUCCGGCUCCAUGUAGAGCCACACCAUCGCGGCUCUGCACUAGAUUGCGUGCGCAGGAUCUCCUCCCUUCAAGGCAGGUUGAGUCGACAGGGUUCGCUCCCGUCCUGGGAGUCUACUCCUCAUCUUGGACUUCCUUCUUUCUCUGAACACCUACUGUGUACCAGCGUGGCGCUGAGGAAGCAUAUGUGAAGACAGGACAAUGUGUGGAGUGCCUUGGAAGUGUGCGUGACUGUUGCUGCUGACAGCCGAGCGGGGAAAGCCACAUUUUGCUUGGUUUGUGUCAGUAGCAUCAUCUACCAUCCCUGUCAUCUUCCAUGGAAAGUGGAAAGGGGAAGUUAGAUUCCCAAGGAGAAUACUAUGUUGUGAAGAGACUCAGUUCUAGUGAACUACCAUGACUAUUCACAAAACUCCCUUGGGGGGAGGUAGGAAGAGAAACAUGUGACAUCAAUGAAGAAAACUGACCAGAAUAUUUGCUUUUCCCACUGCACUUGAUCCGACUAAAUAUCAGUGACUGUUGGUUACGGUUUUGGGGCUUUAAGAUUUGAG